GACGAACGCUGGCGGCGUGCUUAACACAUGCAAGUCGAGCGAGGUCCAACCGGUGGCAACACCGGGGAAGACCUAGCGGCGAACGGGUGAGUAACACGUGAGCAACCUGCCCCGAAGACUGGGAUAACACCGGGAAACCGGUGCUAAUACCGGAUGCCCUCACCGGGUCGCAUGACCUGGUGAGGAAAUGAAUUUUGCUUCGGGAGGGGCUCGCGGGCUAUCAGCUUGUUGGUGGGGUAACGGCNCACCAAGGCUACGACGGCUAGCUGGUCUGAGAGGACGAUCAGCCACACUGGGACUGAGACACGGCCCAGACUCCUACGGGAGGCAGCAGUGGGGAAUCUUGCGCAAUGGGCGAAAGCCUGACGCAGCAACGCCGCGUGGGGGAUGAAUGCCUUC
RNAcentral lists this ribosomal RNA (399 nucleotides) under uncultured bacterium. RNAcentral's name for it is "bacterial SSU rRNA". It matches the Rfam family "Bacterial small subunit ribosomal RNA", at positions 28 to 419 of the family's 1533-position model. The record is from RNAcentral.